This 472-nucleotide ribosomal RNA is filed under the name uncultured bacterium. RNAcentral's name for it is "SSU rRNA". It matches the Rfam family "Bacterial small subunit ribosomal RNA", at positions 26 to 518 of the family's 1533-position model. The record is from RNAcentral.
AGGACGAACGCUGGCGGCGUGCUUAACACAUGCAAGUCGAGCGGAAAGGCCCUUCGGGGUACUCGAGCGGCGAACGGGUGAGUAACACGUGAGUAAUCUGCCCCUAGCUCUGGGAUAGCUCCGGGAAACCGGGAUUAAUACCAGAUACGACCACUUUAGACAUCUGCUGUGGUGGAAAGAAUUUCGGCUAGGGAUGAGCUCGCGGCCUAUCAGCUUGUUGGUGAGGUAACGGCUCACCAAGGCGACGACGGGUAGCCGGCCUGAGAGGGCGACCGGCCACACUGGGACUGAGACACGGCCCAGACUCCUACGGGAGGCAGCAGUGGGGAAUAUUGCGCAAUGGGCGAAAGCCUGACGCAGCGACGCCGCGUGGGGGAUGAAGGCCUUCGGGUUGUAACCCUUUCAGCAGGGACGAAGCGAAAGUGACGGUACCUGCAGAAGAAGCGCCGGCUAACUACGCGCCAGCAGCCGC